This 54-nucleotide long non-coding RNA is filed under the name Crocodylus porosus (Australian saltwater crocodile). RNAcentral's name for it is "Mammalian CPEB3 ribozyme (ENSCPRG00005004301.1)". It matches the Rfam family "Mammalian CPEB3 ribozyme". Rfam says of the family: The mammalian CPEB3 ribozyme is a self cleaving RNA located in the second intron of the CPEB3 gene which belongs to a family of genes regulating messenger RNA polyadenylation. This ribozyme is highly conserved and found only in mammals. The record is from Rfam by way of RNAcentral. Lineage: Eukaryota; Metazoa; Chordata; Crocodylia; Crocodylidae.
AGACGAAUUCAUGGCACAAUCCUGUCAGAUUCCAGUGAAUCUGUGAAUUCUGCU